RNAcentral lists this unclassified non-coding RNA (358 nucleotides) under uncultured fungus. RNAcentral's name for it is "partial contains small subunit ribosomal RNA, internal transcribed spacer 1, and 5.8S ribosomal RNA". The stretch from base 1 to 73 matches the Rfam family "Eukaryotic small subunit ribosomal RNA", at positions 1759 to 1831 of the family's 1831-position model. Lineage: Eukaryota; Fungi. The record is from RNAcentral.
CCAAACUUGGUCAUUUAGAGGAAGUAAAAGUCGUAACAAGGUUUCCGUAGGUGAACCUGCGGAAGGAUCAUUAAUGAAUAACUAUGGUGUUGGUUGUUGCUGGCUUCUAGGAGCAGGUGCACACUCACUGUUUUUAUCUCUCCACCUGUGCACUUUAUGUAGAUCUGGAUAACUCUCACUCUUGAGUGGAUGCAGGGACUGUCACAUGCGACUCUCCUUGAAUUUCCGGAUCUAUGUUAUUUUACAUACACCAAUUGAAUGAUGUAGAAUGUCGUCAAUGGGCUAUCUCAAGCCUAUAAAAUGCAAUACAACUUUCAGCAACGGAUCUCUUGGCUCUCGCAUCGAUGAAGAACGCAGC